GACGAACGCUGGCGGCGUGCCUAAUACAUGCAAGUAGAACGCACAGUUUAUACCGUAGCUUGCUACACCAUAGACUGUGAGUUGCGAACGGGUGAGUAACGCGUAGGUAACCUGCCUGGUAGCGGGGGAUAACUAUUGGAAACGAUAGCUAAUACCGCAUAAUAUUAAUUAUUGCAUGAUAAUUAAUUGAAAGGUGCAAUUGCACCACUACCAGAUGGACCUGCGUUGUAUUAGCUAGUAGGUGAGGUAACGGCUCACCUAGGCGACGAUACAUAGCCGACCUGGGAGGGUGAACGGCCACACUGGGACUGAGACACGGCCCAGACUCCUACGGGAGGCAGCAGUAGGGAAUCUUCGGCAAUGGACGAAAGUCUGACCGAGCAAAGCCGCGUGAGUGAAGAAGGUUUUCGGAUCGUAAAGCUCUGUUGUAAGAGAAGAACGGGUGUGAGAGUGGAAAGUUCACACUGUGACGGUAGCUUACCAGAAAGGGACGGCUAACUACGUG
Molecule: ribosomal RNA, 505 nt
Filed under: uncultured bacterium
Lineage: Bacteria
Description: partial 16S ribosomal RNA
Rfam family: Bacterial small subunit ribosomal RNA
Source: RNAcentral